GGGCCCCCCCUCGUGUGGGGGAGGGGUGUUUAUAUAGUAAGACGAGGUAUCCACGUGUGGAGGGGAGAAACCCUUGGGUUCCCAAAACGGGAAAUAGGAUACCCGGGUAGUCAAAGGUUGGAAACCUCGCGCGGACUUGGUGUUUGGAGGCCCUUCGGGGGCAUUCAGUGCCGGAGAGAAGUUGUUAAGUCGGCUACUUGGGGAGUACGUCCGCAAGGAUGAAACUUAAAGGAAUUGGCGGGGGAGCACCGCAACGGGAGGAGCGUGCGGUUUAAUUGGAUUCAACACCGGAAAACUCACCAAGGGCGACUAUCACAUGAAAGCCAGGCUAACGACCUUGCUUGAUUCUUAGAGAGGUGGUGCAUGGCCGUCGUCAGUUCGUACCGUAAGGCGUUCUCUUAAGUGAGAUAACGAACGAGACCCUCAUCUAUAAUUGCUACUUCACCCUCCGGGGUGGAGGCACAUUAUCGAGACCGCUGGCGCUAAGUCAGAGGAAGGAGAGGUCAACGGUAGGUCAGUAUGCCCCGAAUCUCUUGGGCUACACGCGCGCUACAAAGGGCGGGACAAUGGGCUACGACGCCGAAAGGCGAAGUCAAUCUCGAAACCCGUCCGUAGUUCGGAUUGAGGCUUGUAACUCAGCCUCAUGAAGCUGGAUUCCGUAGUAAUCGCGAAUCAAAAACUCGCGGUGAAUAUGCCCCUGCUCCUGCACACCCGUAAUCUAGAGCACCGCGAGGCCCUCUCGAAUCACUGCAGUCGA
RNAcentral lists this ribosomal RNA (757 nucleotides) under uncultured methanogenic archaeon. RNAcentral's name for it is "bacterial SSU rRNA". It matches the Rfam family "Archaeal small subunit ribosomal RNA", at positions 555 to 1478 of the family's 1478-position model. The record is from RNAcentral. Lineage: Archaea; Methanobacteriati; Methanobacteriota.